This 253-nucleotide ribosomal RNA is filed under the name uncultured bacterium. RNAcentral describes it as "partial 16S ribosomal RNA". It matches the Rfam family "Bacterial small subunit ribosomal RNA", at positions 524 to 776 of the family's 1533-position model. The record is from RNAcentral.
UACGAAGGGGGCGAGCGUUGUUCGGAAUUACUGGGCGUAAAGGGCGCGUAGGCGGCGAUCCGAGUCAGAUGUGAAAGUCCUGGGCUUAACCUGGGGACUGCAUUUGAUACUGGAUUGCUUGAAUGCAGGAGAGGAUAGCGGAAUUCCCAGUGUAGAGGUGAAAUUCGUAGAUAUUGGGAAGAACACCGGUGGCGAAGGCGGCUAUCUGGACUGUGAUUGACGCUGAGGAGCGAAAGCGUGGGGAGCGAACAGG